RNAcentral lists this ribosomal RNA (435 nucleotides) under uncultured bacterium. RNAcentral's name for it is "bacterial SSU rRNA". It matches the Rfam family "Bacterial small subunit ribosomal RNA", at positions 27 to 507 of the family's 1533-position model. The record is from RNAcentral.
GAACGAACGCUGGCGGCAUGCCUAACACAUGCAAGUCGAACGAACCCUUCGGGGUUAGUGGCGCACGGGUGCGUAACGCGUGGGGAUCUGCCCUUUGCUUCGGAAUAACAGUUAGAAAUGACUGCUAAUACCGGAUGAUGUCGCAAGACCAAAGAUUUAUCGGCAAAGGAUGAACCCGCGUAGGAUUAGCUAGUUGGUGGGGUAAAGGCCUACCAAGGCGACGAUCCUUAGCUGGUCUGAGAGGAUGAUCAGCCACACUGGGACUGAGACACGGCCCAGACUCCUACGGGAGGCAGCAGUGGGGAAUAUUGGACAAUGGGCGAAAGCCUGAUCCAGCAAUGCCGCGUGAGUGAUGAAGGCCUUCGGGUUGUAAAGCUCUUUUUACCAGGGAUGAUAAUGACAGUACCUGGAGAAUAAGCUCCGGCUAACUCCGUG